Molecule: ribosomal RNA, 422 nt
Filed under: uncultured archaeon
Lineage: Archaea
Description: partial 16S ribosomal RNA
Rfam family: Archaeal small subunit ribosomal RNA
Source: RNAcentral
CUACGGGUGGCAGCAGGCGAGAAAACUUUGCAAUGUGCGGAAGCACGACAAGGUUAAUCCGAGUGGUUUCUGCUAAAGGAACCUUUUGACAGUCCUAGAAACACUGUUGAAUAAGGGGUGGGCAAGUUCUGGUGUCAGCCGCCGCGGUAAAACCAGCACCUCAAGUGGUCAGGAUGAUUAUUGGGCCUAAAGCAUCCGUAGCCGGCUCUGUAAGUUUUCGGUUAAAUCUGUACGCUCAACGUACAGGCUGCCGGGAAUACUGCAGAGCUAGGGAGUGGGAGAGGUAGACGGUACUCGGUAGGAAGGGGUAAAAUCCUUUGAUCUAUUGAUGACCACCUGUGGCGAAGGCGGUCUACCAGAACACGUCCGACGGUGAGGGAUGAAAGCUAGGGGAGCAAACCGGAUUAGAUACCCGAGUAGUC